GGCUGGUCAGAGUGCAAUGGUGUUUACAACUAAUUGAUCACAGCCAGUUACAGACUUCUUUGUUCCUUCUCCAGUCCCACUGCUUCACUUGACUAGUCUUAC
Unclassified non-coding RNA from Aotus nancymaae (Ma's night monkey), 102 nucleotides. It matches the Rfam family "Y RNA". From Rfam's summary of the family: Y RNAs are components of the Ro ribonucleoprotein particle (Ro RNP), in association with Ro60 and La proteins. The Y RNAs and Ro60 and La proteins are well conserved, but the function of the Ro RNP is not known. NCBI's taxonomy places the organism in Eukaryota, Metazoa, Chordata, Mammalia, Primates, Aotidae. The record is from Ensembl.